RNAcentral lists this ribosomal RNA (375 nucleotides) under uncultured organism. RNAcentral describes it as "partial 16S ribosomal RNA". It matches the Rfam family "Bacterial small subunit ribosomal RNA", at positions 527 to 897 of the family's 1533-position model. The record is from RNAcentral.
GUAGGUGGCAAGCGUUGUCCGGGAAUUAUUGGGCGUAAAGCGCGCGCAGGCGGUUCUUUAAGUCUGAUGUGAAAGCCCACGGGCUCAACCGUGGAGGGUCAUUGGAAACUGGAGAACUUGAGUACAGAAGAGGAAAGCGGAAUUCCACGUGUAGCGGUGAAAUGCGUAGAGAUGUGGAGGAACACCAGUGGCGAAGGCGGCUUUCUGGUCUGUAACUGACGCUGAGGCGCGAAAGCGUGGGGAGCAAACAGGAUUAGAUACCCUGGUAGUCCACGCCGUAAACGAUGAGUGCUAAGUGUUAGGGGGUUUCCGCCCCUUAGUGCUGCGGCUAACGCAUUAAGCACUCCGCCUGGGGAGUACGGCCGCAAAGGCUGA